RNAcentral lists this ribosomal RNA (254 nucleotides) under uncultured bacterium. RNAcentral's name for it is "partial 16S ribosomal RNA". It matches the Rfam family "Bacterial small subunit ribosomal RNA", at positions 524 to 776 of the family's 1533-position model. The record is from RNAcentral.
UACGUAGGGUGCAAGCGUUAAUCGGAAUUACUGGGCGUAAAGCGUGCGCAGGCGGUUUUGUAAGUCUGUCGUGAAAUCCCCCGGCUCAACCUGGGAAUUGCGAUGGAGACUGCAAGGCUAGAAUCUGGCAGAGGGGGGUAGAAUUCCACGUGUGAGCAGUGAAAUGCGUAGAUAUGUGGAGGAACACCGAUGGCGAAGGCAGCCCCCUGGGUCAAGAUUGACGCUCAUGCACGAAAGCGUGGGGAGCAAACAGG